CAACGUGAGCAACCUGCCUUUCAGAGGGGGAUAACAGUUGGAAACGACUGCUAAUACCGCAUAACGCUGCGAUGGGGCAUCCCGAUGCAGCCAAAGGAGCAAUCCGCUGGAAGAUGGGCUCGCGGCCGAUUAGCUAGUUGGUGGGGCAACGGCCCACCAAGGCGACGAUCGGUAGCCGGACUGAGAGGUUGAUCGGCCACAUUGGGACUGAGACACGGCCCAGACUCCUACGGAAGGCAGCAG
Molecule: ribosomal RNA, 243 nt
Filed under: uncultured bacterium
Lineage: Bacteria
Description: partial 16S ribosomal RNA
Rfam family: Bacterial small subunit ribosomal RNA
Source: RNAcentral